UUUAAAGAGAGUUUGAUCCUGGCUCAGGACGAACGCUGGCGGCGUGCCUAAUACAUGCAAGUCGAACGAACGGAGGAAGAGCUUGCUCUUCCAAUGUUAGUGGCGGACGGGUGAGUAACACGUGGGCAACCUGCCUGUAAGUUGGGGAUAACUCCGGGAAACCGGGGCUAAUACCGAAUGAUAAGAUGUGGCGCAUGCCACGCCUUUGAAAGAUGGUUUCGGCUAUCGCUUACAGAUGGGCCCGCGGUGCAUUAGCUAGUUGGUAGGGUAAUGGCCUACCAAGGCAACGAUGCAUAGCCGACCUGAGAGGGUGAUCGGCCACACUGGGACUGAGACACGGCCCAGACUCCUACGGGAGGCAGCAGUAGGGAAUCUUCCGCAAUGGACGAAAGUCUGACGGAGCAACGCCGCGUGUAUGAAGAAGGUUUUCGGAUCGUAAAGUACUGUUGUUAGAGAAGAA
Molecule: ribosomal RNA, 460 nt
Filed under: Listeria monocytogenes
Lineage: Bacteria; Bacillati; Bacillota; Bacilli; Caryophanales; Listeriaceae
Description: bacterial SSU rRNA
Rfam family: Bacterial small subunit ribosomal RNA
Source: RNAcentral